This 312-nucleotide ribosomal RNA is filed under the name uncultured Glomus. Its description in RNAcentral is "SSU rRNA". It matches the Rfam family "Eukaryotic small subunit ribosomal RNA", at positions 570 to 886 of the family's 1831-position model. The record is from RNAcentral. Lineage: Eukaryota; Fungi; Glomeromycota; Glomeromycetes; Glomerales; Glomeraceae.
GCAGCCGCGGUAAUUCCAGCUCCAAUAGCGUAUAUUAAAGUUGUUGCAGUUAAAAAGCUCGUAGUUGAAUUUCGGGAUCAAUAUAUCGGUCGAGCCUCCGGUUCGUACUGGUAUCAUUGAUUUCUCCCUUCUGACGAACCAUGAUUUCAUUUAUUUGGUGUCAUGGGGAGUUAGGACUGUUACUUUGAAAAAAUUAGAGUGUUUAAAGCAGGCAUUAGCUUGAAUACAUUAGCAUGGAAUAAUGAAAUAGGACGUUUGACCUUAUUUUGUUGGUUUCUAGGAUCGACGUAAUGAUUAAUAGGGAUAGUUGGG